CGGGAUGUAGCGCAGCUUGGUAGCGCGCCUGCUUUGGGAGCAGGAUGCCGCAGGUUCGAAUCCUGUCAUCCCGA
Transfer RNA from Calothrix sp. PCC 6303, 74 nucleotides. It matches the Rfam family "tRNA". From Rfam's summary of the family: Transfer RNA (tRNA) molecules are approximately 80 nucleotides in length. Their secondary structure includes four short double-helical elements and three loops (D, anti-codon, and T loops). Lineage: Bacteria; Bacillati; Cyanobacteriota; Cyanophyceae; Nostocales; Calotrichaceae. The record is from Rfam.